AAUUUCUGCUAAAAAUAACCGGUCUGCUUUUAUUUAUAAAAGUGGUAUCUUGGUGUGUUUUUAGUAAUAAUAUCUUUAGAAAUGUUUUUUACUUUGCUGUAAAAAGCAAUAUUCAGGAUUUUUACUUUGAGAAAAUUAGAGUGUUUCAAGCAAGCUAACGUUUUGAAUACUGCAGCAUGGAAUAAUAAAAUAGGAUUUUGGUUCUACAUUAUUGGUUUUAAGAACUAAAUUAAUGAUUAAUA
RNAcentral lists this ribosomal RNA (242 nucleotides) under Hepatozoon sp. Its description in RNAcentral is "partial 18S ribosomal RNA". The stretch from base 114 to 242 matches the Rfam family "Eukaryotic small subunit ribosomal RNA", at positions 744 to 874 of the family's 1831-position model. The record is from RNAcentral. Lineage: Eukaryota; Apicomplexa; Hepatozoidae.